This 492-nucleotide ribosomal RNA is filed under the name uncultured bacterium. RNAcentral's name for it is "partial 16S ribosomal RNA". It matches the Rfam family "Bacterial small subunit ribosomal RNA", at positions 28 to 507 of the family's 1533-position model. The record is from RNAcentral.
GAUGAACGCUAGCUACAGGCUUAACACAUGCAAGUCGAGGGGCAGCGGUAUCGAAAGCUUGCUUUCGGUAGCCGGCGACCGGCGCACGGGUGAGUAACGCGUAUCGAACCUGCCUCAUACUCGGGAAUAGCCUUGCGAAAGUAAGAUUAAUGCCCGGUGUUUUCAGAGUCCCGCAUGAGGCUUUGAACAAAGAUUUAUCGGUAUGAGAUGGCGAUGCGUCCCAUUAGCUUGUUGGCGGGGUAACGGCCCACCAAGGCAUCGAUGGGUAGGGGUUUUGAGAGGAAGGGCCCCCAAAUUGGAACUGAGACACGGUCCAAACUCCUACGGGAGGCAGCAGUGAGGAAUAUUGGUCAAUGGGCGGAAGCCUGAACCAGCCAAGUAGCGUGCAGGAAGACGGCCCUCCGGGUUGUAAACUGCUUUUAGUUGGGAAUAAAACGGGGCUCGUGAGCCCCCUUGCAUGUACCAUCAGAAAAAGGACCGGCUAAUUCCGUG